AGUGAACGCUGGCGGUGUGCCUAACACAUGCAAGUCGAACGGCAGCACAGUAAGAGCUUGCUCUUACGGUUGGCGAGUGGCGGACGGGUGAGGCAUACAUCGGCAUCUUCUUUUUCUUGGGGGAUAACGUAGGGACACUUACGCUAAUACCUCAUACGAUCUACGGGUGAAAUCAGAGGUUCUUCGGACCUUUCGCGAUUCAUUUAGACGAUGUCGGAUUAGCUAGUUGGCGUGGUAAAGGCCCACCAAGGCGACGAUACGUAGCUGGUCUGAGAGGAUGAUCAGCCACACUGGAACUGAGACACGGUCCAGACUCCUACGGGAGGCAGCAGUGGGGAAUCUUGGACAAUGGGCGAAAGCCUGAUCCAGCCAGACCGCGUGGGUGAAGAAGGCCUUCGGAUUGUAAAGCCCUGUUGUUGGGAAAGAAAAGCAGCAGGUUAAACCCCCGCUGUUCUGACGGUACCCAAAGAAUAAGCAACGGCUAACUUCGUG
Molecule: ribosomal RNA, 492 nt
Filed under: uncultured bacterium
Lineage: Bacteria
Description: partial 16S ribosomal RNA
Rfam family: Bacterial small subunit ribosomal RNA
Source: RNAcentral